UCGACGUGAUCAGGGGGCAACUCCUGGUGAAAGUGGCGGAAGGGUGAGUAACGCAUAGACAACGUACCCCCGAGAUGGGGAUAACUCAGGGAAACCUGAGCUAAUACCCAAUGGUGUCACUGGAGGGAUUCCUCUGGUGACUAAAGGUGGCCUCUGAACCAUGCUCCCGCUCGGGGAGCGGUCUAUGUCCUAUCAGCUAGUUGGUGGGGUAGCGGCCCACCAAGGCUUCGACGGGUAGCCGGCCUUAGCGGGUGUCCGGCCACACUGGGACUGAGAUACUGCCCAGACACCUACGGGUGGCUGCAGUCGAGAAUCUUCGGCAAUGGGCGAAAGCCUGACCGAGCGACGCCGCGUGCGGGACGAAGGCCUUCGGGUUGUAAACCGCUGUCGGGAGGGAUGAAGUGCACGGGGGCUAUCCCCUGUGUUUGACAGAGCUCCGGAGGAAGCACGGGCUAAGUUCGUGCCAGCAGCCGCGGUAAUACGAACUGUGCGAACGUUAUUCGGAAUCACUGGGCUUAAAGGGUGCGUAGGCGGCGCUGUAAGUCAGGUGUGAAAUCCCCCGGCUCAACCGGGGAAUGGCGCUUGAAACUGCAGUGCUUGAGUGAGGUAGGGGUGCAUGGAACUUCCGGUGGAGCGGUGAAAUGUGUAGAUAUCGGAAGGAACGCCGGCGGCGAAAGCGGUGCACUGGGCCUUGUCUGACGCUGAGGCACGAAAGCCAGGGUAGCGAACGGGAUUAGAUACCCCGGUAGUCCUGGCCGUAAACACUG
Molecule: ribosomal RNA, 767 nt
Filed under: uncultured bacterium
Lineage: Bacteria
Description: bacterial SSU rRNA
Rfam family: Bacterial small subunit ribosomal RNA
Source: RNAcentral